Molecule: ribosomal RNA, 1636 nt
Filed under: Iphiteon panicea
Lineage: Eukaryota; Metazoa; Porifera; Hexactinellida; Hexactinosida; Dactylocalycidae
Description: large subunit ribosomal RNA
Rfam family: Bacterial large subunit ribosomal RNA (bases 1133-1530)
Source: RNAcentral
AUCCUAGAAAAACAAUAGAGUUUCUAAACCAAGAAAAAACAAAAUAACAACAAAUAAAAACAAAAUAAAACAUUAACACAACAAUAAAAAUAAAUUAGCAAGUAAUAGAGAAUGAAAACUAAUCCCGCCCAAUAAAAAUUUUUUAAAAAAGUCAAUAAAACAUCAAUCACAAAAUAGAAACAUCUACAAAAAAGUACUGAAAAGGAAAGUGCCCAAAUAGAAAAAACACUAAUCUAGAACACAUCAUAAACACCCCUUAUUAUUCCUCUUGCAUCAGGAGCUUAUAAGAAAAAGUAUAAAUAAAUACAAACAAACCAUACAAACAAAAUAAGAAACACUAAAUUUAUACAACCCGAAACCUUGUGAUCUAAUCAUGAACAGACCAAAAAGAGCCAAUUAAAAAAUGUUACAAUAUUUUUAAAGGAUUUUUGAAUAGAAACAAAAAGUCAAACAACCAAGGAUAUAACUGGUUUUCGAAGAAAAAUAUUUAAGUAUCAUAAAAAUUAGAAAAUAAAAAAAGUAAUAAUUCCUCUAAAAAAAAAGACAAACCAACUGUGAAAAGAUAGCUGGUUUAAAUGGAAACAGCCAUAACCUACAUUAAAAGAUUAAAAAAAUAUCCUCCUACACAAAUAAAAAGUAGACUCAAAAACAGCCACCUUCUAACAAAAACGUAACUGUUUAUCACAACAACAACAAGGAUAAAAAAUCAACAAAAUAAAACUCAAGAUUAGGUCCCCAAGAAAUACUCGAAUAACAAAAACAAUUUAAGCACUAGUAAAUACAACAAUACAACCCAAAGAAGACAAACCGGUCCUUAACAACCAAAAGAUUAAAAAAAAAUGACAACCCGUUCUCUAAUCCAGCACCGGUGGGACAAUACCCCUAAAAAAAAAUCUUAAGGAACUCGGCAAAACAGAAAUUCGACUGUUUACCAAAAACAUAGCUAUUAGAAAAAAGUAUUAAUAGUGAUGCCUGCUCAAUGAUUGAACAAUAAAAAAUCAACAACAAUUAAAUUGCCGCGGUAACACCUGACCGUGCAAAGGUAGCACAACAAGCAGCCUAUUAAUUAUAGGAUAGAAUGAAGGUAAAACGAAAUUUCAACUGUCUCAAGACCAAAUAUCCAAAAUAGAAUGUGUGUGCAAAUCCACACCACAGUAGCAAGACGAUAAGACCCUAAGAACUUUACCAAAAACUUACUCACAAUAAUAAGUCAUAAGUUUCGUUGGGGCAACGAUCUUUAAAAAAGUAACUAAGAUUCAACCAAUCAAAAACACACAGAUCAAUAAAUCUACAACAACGAUAAGACCCAUUAAAUAAAACCACAUUAAUGACAAAAAACAAAAGCUCCCUAGGGAUAACAGCGUUAUAUCGUCAAUAGAAAACAAUCCAGACGAUGUUUGCGACCUCGAUGUUGAAUUGCUAUACCCCAAAAUGCAACCCCGUUUAAAGGUUGGACUGUCCUUCCAUUAAAAUAGCCCAUGAUUUGAGUUCAGACCGAGGCAACUCAGGUCAGAUUCUAUCUACUACUACAAAAAAGACACAAUAUAAGUACGAAAGGAAAAUAUUCAAAACCCCAUAGUAUCCAUCCACGAAAAACUAUAAAGUUUAUAAAACAUAAAACCCUACCAAACACAAA